RNAcentral lists this ribosomal RNA (533 nucleotides) under Leptobrachium lumadorum. RNAcentral describes it as "partial 16S ribosomal RNA". It matches the Rfam family "Bacterial large subunit ribosomal RNA", at positions 1812 to 2581 of the family's 2925-position model. Lineage: Eukaryota; Metazoa; Chordata; Amphibia; Anura; Megophryidae. The record is from RNAcentral.
AACAUCGCCUUUUGAAUAUUAUAAAAGGUAACGCCUGCCCAGUGACAUAUGUUUAACGGCCGCGGUAUUCUGACCGUGCGAAGGUAGCGUAAUCAUUUGUCUUUUAAAUAAAGACUUGUAUGAAUGGCAUCACGAGGGCUUAACUGUCUCCCUAAUUUAAUCAGUGAAACUGAUUUUCCCGUGAAAAAGCGGGAAUAAACUCAUAAGACGAGAAGACCCUAUGGAGCUUAAAACUAAAAACUAAUUGUUCUAUCUGCCAAAUUAAAUGUCACUAAUAUACAAUUUUAGCCUAAGUUUUUUGUUGGGGCGACUAUGGAGAAUAACUAAUCCUCCAUGAAAACAUACCUAGAAUUACCAUUCUUAGUAUUAGCAAGCAUAAAUUAAAUUGAUCCAAUAAUUGAUCAACGGACCAAGUUACCCUAGGGAUAACAGCGCAAUCCAUUUCAAGAGUCCCUAUCGACAAAUGGGUUUACGACCUCGAUGUUGGAUUAGGACAUCCUAGUGGUGUAGCCGCUACUAAUGGUUCGUUUGUU